UAGAGAUGAGAAUUGUCCCUGUAUCGAUAUUAGUCAAUAGUUAAUACUACUAUUCAAAGUCUUAGUAAGUUUCACAAUAAUUUGGAUGCACGAAUGAAAAUCAACAUCCGAUCUUCAUUUUUCUUCAUUUUAAACUAGAGAAGGGAAAAGCAAAAAGAUUUUACGAACACGAACUUAAUCGUUCCGUACUAUUGUUUUUCCUUCCGUCUACAUGACUAUUUUUCCCCUAAUAAUGAAGGCGACGCACGAUUAGUGUAUUUCCAACGAAACGAGCAUCUGGUGUUGUCGGUGCCAUAACUGGUGUUUGAGAAUCCGGUGAUGGAGAUGGUGCGUCUUUAUAUUCUGCGUCUGGUGAUGGAGAUGGUGUGUCUGUAUAAUAUGUGUCUGGUGAUGGUGACGGUGGCUGAGCAUCCGGUGGUGGUGGUUGCUCUGCAUCUGGUGGAGGUGGUGGUGGUUGCUCAUCAUCUGGAGGAGGAGGAGGUGGUUGAUCAGCAACUGGUGGAGGAGGGGGCGGUUGCUGAUCAGCAUCUGGUGGAGGAGGUGGAGACUUAACCGGUGGCGGUGGUGAUUUAACUAGUGGUGGUGGAGACUUUACUGGUGGUGGUGGUUGCUGCUUAGGUGGAGGGCGUUUACGGGGUGGAAACU
This 645-nucleotide long non-coding RNA is filed under the name Nicotiana benthamiana. RNAcentral describes it as "long non-coding RNA (NBEN_LNC014579)". The record is from RNAcentral. Lineage: Eukaryota; Viridiplantae; Streptophyta; Magnoliopsida; Solanales; Solanaceae.